AGCAUUUGCUGUUGCUUUCACACGUGCACUUGGGAGGAUUUAGGAUUUUAAUUCCUGUAUUGAAGCAAGUGACACACUGAAGUUGUGAGAAAUUGUGUGCACUGGGGGAGGCUGUCCUGUGGUCGUAACGUGUCUGUCCUGUUCCCAACAGGGCUCCACGUGUUCCCCACGUUUGUGGCGUACGAGCUCACGGUGCUGGUGUUCCUCACCUUGUCAGUGGUGGUGAUGAAGUUUCUCCUGGCGGCGCUAGUCCUGUCUCUCAUUCUGCCGAGGAGCAGCCAGUACAUCAAGUGGAUCGUCUCUGCGGGGCUUGCCCAGGUCAGCGAGUUUUCCUUUGUCCUGGGGAGCCGGGCGCGAAGAGCGGGCGUCAUCUCUCGGGAGGUGUACCUCCUUAUACUGAGUGUGACCACGCUCAGCCUCUUGCUCGCCCCGGUGCUGUGGAGAGCUGCAAUCUCAAGGUGUGUGCCCAGACCAGAGAGACGGUCCAGCCUCUGACAGCACAGAGAUGAUGGACAAUGGAAGGGAAGCGUCUGUGGGGAGUGAGCGCUUAGAUGGCCGGCAGCUGCUCCUUCUGGGAAGCUCAUGCCUUGGCAAC
RNAcentral lists this small RNA (595 nucleotides) under Pongo abelii (Sumatran orangutan). Its description in RNAcentral is "processed transcript". The record is from RNAcentral. Lineage: Eukaryota; Metazoa; Chordata; Mammalia; Primates; Hominidae.